Molecule: long non-coding RNA, 1171 nt
Filed under: Malus domestica (apple)
Lineage: Eukaryota; Viridiplantae; Streptophyta; Magnoliopsida; Rosales; Rosaceae
Description: long non-coding RNA (MDOM_LNC009917)
Source: RNAcentral
AAAACCAGCUGCAUGCGGUAUCUUGUGAAGUUUGGGAAGAUAUAUGACAUCCGAGAUGAUUUCAAUGCUUUCUUGCUAUGCGCAGACAGGGACUUGAUAGCAGAAGUCUUCGGCGAAGUUCUUGGUGCCUGGAAAGGUUUCUGAAGUCUGCAAAAAUUAAAGAAGUCAUAAGCGUGGCUUCAUAUCUGUCCUACCUAUAAAUAUGUGGAUUGCUAGUAAAAUUAGUGUCCAGGAUUUGUUGUCAUGAUGAUUCUUUAGUGCAGAUUGAAUUUUUUUUAUGUCUUCAUGUACGUAUAUAUUGGCUCUGAACUGAUGACAUAGGAGUCGUCAUCCGUGUUACAGAAACAUAAAUUCUUGGAUUCAACAAUGAAAUUUGAAUGAUUUAUAUCUUGUUCUGUUCCUGUUUUUUUUUUUUCCAGAUAACUGGGGCCAAGUGAGUUGAUAUGUGCAUACUGAAAUUACUUCACCAUGUUUUCCAUCUAUUCGGGAUCAAUUGAACAAGAACCUAGAACAAAGAUUUCAUCCAAAUUUUAACAAAAUACAAUCCAACUUUAUGAAAUGAUAUCGACCAAUGUCAAACAAUAUGGUCGAAACUGUAUUCAAUGGGGGCGAAAGUAAGCAUAUAUAAUUUAUGGGAUCAAUAUUAGUUUUCACCAAAAAAAAGAGACAAACAUUUGUUUGCUGCAUAAAAUGCAAACAUAUUCCUACUCUGAUAUCAGAGAGUUUAGUAAGCAACAUCAAUGUGAAUUCAGAGUCCGACAACUCAAUCCAACUCUUCAUCAAUCCGAUUUCUCCUCACCCAGGACUACGGAUUAGUAAUAAUGUCAUUAAUGUAACGCUAAGGAAAGUAAUGAAGACAGAAUAGUAUAGAAAUCCUCCUUUUUACUCAAGUCUUAAAACUCAGCAUGAGCAAAGCAACCACAAGGGCAACUGGGCAAGUUUCAAAGCAAAGUUGCUUACCUUGGAGAGAAGCUCUCAUUUGGGGUUCUCCCUUCUUCUUUCUAACGUUGAUGUAAAGUAAGGGAUGCAUAAAAAUGAGAGCUUGAAUUAUUGCUCGCAAACCAUGACAGAAGAACACCUUCUGGGAGCUGCUUUUUAUAUGCAUUUGCUCAUGGAGAGAAUAUGGAAAGAAUAUAUUAGGACGAUCCUUUUGUUCUCUUUUUUAUUUUUG